Small nuclear RNA from Vulpes vulpes (red fox), 154 nucleotides. Its record names the gene U4. It matches the Rfam family "U4 spliceosomal RNA". From Rfam's summary of the family: U4 small nuclear RNA (U4 snRNA) is a component of the major U2-dependent spliceosome. The structure of U4 snRNA from yeast and human has been reported. The record is from Ensembl. NCBI's taxonomy places the organism in Eukaryota, Metazoa, Chordata, Mammalia, Carnivora, Canidae.
AGCUUUGUGCAGUGGCAGUAUCGUAGCCAAUGAGGUUUAUCUGAGGUGCGAUUAUUGCUAAUUAAAGUUGGAAUUGUAAAGAAUCCUGGGAACCAUCUAGCAAACACCAUGUUCAGUAAACAUUUGCCAGGUUGAAAUUUUACCUUUUUGAAGG